RNAcentral lists this ribosomal RNA (468 nucleotides) under uncultured bacterium. RNAcentral's name for it is "partial 16S ribosomal RNA". It matches the Rfam family "Bacterial small subunit ribosomal RNA", at positions 28 to 507 of the family's 1533-position model. The record is from RNAcentral.
GACGAACGCUGGCGGCGUGCUUAACACAUGCAAGUCGAACGGAAAGGCCCUGCUUUUGUGGGGGGCUCGAGUGGUGAAAGGGUGAGUAACACGUGAGUAACCUGCCCUUGACUUUGGGAUAACUUCAGGAAACUGGGGCUAAUACCGGAUAGGAGCUCCUGCUGCAUGGUGGGGGUUGGAAAGGUUCGGCGGGUGGGGGUGGACUCGCGGCUUAUCAGGUUGUUGGUGGGGGAGUGGCUUACCAAGGCUUUGACGGGUAGCCGGCCUGAGAGGGUGACCGGCCACAUUGGGACUGAGAUACGGCCCAGACUCCUACGGGAGGCAGCAGUGGGGAAUAUUGCACAAUGGGCGGAAGCCUGAUGCAGCAACGCCGCGUGCGGGAUGACGGCCUUCGGGUUGUAAACCGCUUUCGCCUGUGACGAAGCGUGAGUGACGGUAAUGGGUAAAGAAGCACCGGCUAACUACGUG